This 2255-nucleotide unclassified non-coding RNA is filed under the name Amphibalanus amphitrite. Its description in RNAcentral is "wD repeat-containing protein 48-like, transcript variant X1". Lineage: Eukaryota; Metazoa; Arthropoda; Thecostraca; Balanomorpha; Balanidae. The record is from RNAcentral.
UCUAAUUGAGUUUCAGUUACAAAGUAAAAAUAAACGAAAAAUAAGCAGCUAGCCGAACUUGUGGGACGAUCAGAGCAGUGGCGGCCAUCUGAGCGGUGAUGGGCACCAUGCAGCGUCCGGCGGCUCUGGCUGGCCGGAAGCGGUUUCAGGUGACGUUUGUGGUCCGUGACGAGGUGGAGCGGUGCCACCGAGCGGGCGUCAACUCGCUCCAGUAUGACGCCCACCUGCAGCGGCUCUUCACCGCCGGACGAGAUGGCGUCAUAAGGAUGUGGAACUGUAAGAACACAAAGGAGCCGUACAUCCAGUCUAUGGAGCACCACACCGACUGGGUCAAUGACAUUGUCCUCUGCUGCGGCGGCAGGAACCUAAUUUCGGCCAGCUCGGACACAACCGUGAAGGUUUGGAGCGCCCACAAGGGCCUCUGUAUGUCCACACUGCGCACACACAAGGACUAUGUCAAGGCACUUGCUUACGCCAAGGAGAAGGAGCACGUGGCGUCAGCGGGUCUGGACAAGUCCAUCUUCCUCUGGGACGUCAACACACUGACCGCCCUCACCACCAGCAACAACAUAGUCACCACCUCAUCACUGAACGGCAGCAAGUUCAGCAUCUACAGCCUGGGCAUGAACGAGCUCGGCACGGUGGUAAUUGCCGGCAGCACGGAGAAACUGCUGCGCGUCUGGGACCCGCGCACCUGCGACCGGCUCAUGAAGCUCAGAGGUCACGCGGAUAACGUGCGCGCCGUGCUGGUCAGCCGCGACGGCACCCAGUGUCUGUCGGGCUCCUCAGACGGCACCGUCAAACUGUGGUCGCUCGGUCAGCAGCGAUGCAUCACCACGCUGCAGCUGCACGACUCCGUCUGGGCGCUGCAGGUGAGCCCCGACUUCAGCCGAGUGUACUCGGGCGGCCGGGACCGGCGGCUGCUGGUGACCAACCUGCGUCAGCCCGACUCCAGUCUGCUACUGGCCGAAGAGACGGCGCCCAUCCUCCGCAUGGCGCUGGUCGGGGACGAGUCCAUCUGGGUCUCCACCGCCGAGAGCUCCGUCAAAAACUGGUCUCUGAAGAACGUGGACCGUCUGCUGGAUGACGCACAGGCGGACUUCCUGACACCAGUGGCCAGCCAGCCGACUCGGGUUAUCGAGGGCGCUCCCAGCAUCAAACAGUACAAGGUGCUUAACGACAAGCGGCACGUGCUGACUCGAGACAGUGAUGGACAGGUGGCACUCUACGACGUCCUCUAUGCUAAGAAGGUGGAGGACCUGGGUCAGAUAGACCUGGAAGCCGAAGCCGAGCGCCGCUUUAAGAUGGUGUACGUGCCCAACUGGUUCAGCAUCGACCUGAAGACCGGGUACCUCUCUGUGCACCUGAGCCAGGACGAGGUGGACUGUUUCUCGGCCUGGGUCAGCGCCAAGGAGGCCGGACUGCAGACCUCCGAUGGCGUCGAUCAAAAAGUGAACUACGGCCGGCUGCUGCUGCAGGCGCUGCUCGAACACUGGCCGCGCACCUUCCAACUGGAGCCCGGAGCCGAGAACGGCUCAGACGCACAGGCGCUGGCCAAGCCCGUCGGCAACGAGUACUUCUCCGUACCGCCGCACACGCCCGUCAUUUUCAGCGAGGCGGGCGGCAGGUUUUUCUACCGGCUCCUAUGUCGGGACGCCGUCGGAGAGUCCGAAGGGACGCUGAACGAAAUGGUGCCCGACUGGGUGGUCGACUGCGUCGUCGAAAGAAACACACCCAAAUUCAUCAAGGUGCCCUUCUACCUACAGCCGCACGCGUCAGCAUCAAACAGCAUCAAACACCAGAAAAAGGACCGGCUGAUUGCCAACGACUUCAUCCAGGUGCGGAAGGUAGUGGAGCACGUCUACGAGAAGGUGCUGGGCACAAACUCGGAGGCGAUGGGCGGCGGACCGGCCCAGCCGCCCCCGCCGGCCGCCGGCGCAGAGGCCGAUGAUAGGACGGAGGGGUCAGCCACACUGGCGGAGGAUAAGGUCGAGCUGCUCUGUAAUGAACAGCAGGCUACUCACGAUUGGCGGUUAUCGGCUGUACAGGAGUGAUCGCCAGAGUGACCGCGGACUGGCUCGGGGACACGGUGGGGUGGCGUUGCUGGUCCGCGAGGCGCACAGAGUAGAGGUGCUACCGACGCCCGUGACCGGAGUCGCGAACUCGAAUGUAGAGGUGCUGGACCUCAACAUGGACCUGCGCACAGUGCGUCACUUCAUCUGGAAAAACUCUGCCGACCUUCAGCUGCACUACCG